GAUGAACNCUGGCGGCGUGCCUAAUACAUGCAAGUCGAGCGCGUGAAACUAAACUGAUCUCUUCGGAGUGACGUUAAGUGGAACGAGCGGCGGAUGGGUGAGUAACACGUGGGCAACCUGCCUAUAAGACUGGGAUAACUUGCGGAAACGUGAGCUAAUACCGGAUGAAACCUUUUAUCACCUGAUAAGAGGAUGAAAGAUGGCUUUUAGCUAUCACUUAUAGAUGGGCCCGCGGCGCAUUAGCUAGUUGGUGAGAUAAAAGCUCACCAAGGCAACGAUGCGUAGCCGACCUGAGAGGGUGAUCGGCCACACUGGGACUGAGACACGGCCCAGACUCCUACGGGAGGCAGCAGUAGGGAAUCUUCCGCAAUGGACGAAAGUCUGACGGAGCAACGCCGCGUGAACGAAGAAGGUUCUCGGAUCGUAAAGUUCUGUUGUUAGGGAAGAACACGUACCAUUCAAAUAGGGUGGUACCUUGACGGUACCUAACGAGAAAGCCCCGGCUAACUACGUGCCAGCAGCCGCGGUAAUACGUAGGGGGCAAGCGUUGUCCGGAAUUAUUGGGCGUAAAGCGCUCGCAGGCGGUUUUUUAAGUCUGAUGUGAAAUCUUGCGGCUCAACCGCAAGCGGUCAUUGGAAACUGGAGAACUUGAGGACAGAAGAGGAGAGUGGAAUUCCACGUGUAGCGGUGAAAUGCGUAGAGAUGUGGAGGAACACCAGUGGCGAAGGCGACUCUCUGGUCUGUAACUGACGCUGAGGAGCGAAAGCGUGGGUAGCGAACAGGAUUAGAUACCCUGGUAGUCCACGCCGUAAACGAUGAGUGCUAGGUGUUAGGGGGUUUCCGCCCCUUAGUGCUGGCGGUUAACGCAUUAAGCACUCCGCCUGGGGAGUACGGCCGCAAGGCUGAAACU
This 910-nucleotide ribosomal RNA is filed under the name uncultured Amphibacillus sp. Its description in RNAcentral is "bacterial SSU rRNA". It matches the Rfam family "Bacterial small subunit ribosomal RNA", at positions 28 to 901 of the family's 1533-position model. The record is from RNAcentral. Lineage: Bacteria; Bacillati; Bacillota; Bacilli; Caryophanales; Bacillaceae.